AAGUGGUAGGAAGCCGAAGUGACGACCCUCGGGAGCUUGCACAGGUGCUGCAUGGCUGUCGUCAGCUCGUGUCGUGAGAUGUUCGGUUAAGUCCGCUAACGAGCGCAACCCUCGCUGUGUGUUAUAUGUGUCACACGGGACUGCCGGUCUUAAGCCGGAGGAAGGUGGGGAUGAUGUCAAGUCAGCAUGGCCUUUAUAUCCUGGGCUACACGCACGCUACAAUGGCCAACACAAUAGGUUGCUAAGCCGCGAGGUGGCGCCAAUCCAUAAAGUUGGUCUCAGUUCAGAUUGUAGGCUGCAACCCGCCUGCAUGAAGAUGGAGUUGCUAGUAACCGCAGGUCAGCUAUACUGCGGUGAAUACGUUCCCGGGGCUU
Molecule: ribosomal RNA, 374 nt
Filed under: uncultured Leptolinea sp.
Lineage: Bacteria; Bacillati; Chloroflexota; Anaerolineae; Anaerolineales; Anaerolineaceae
Description: bacterial SSU rRNA
Rfam family: Bacterial small subunit ribosomal RNA
Source: RNAcentral